AACGAACGCUGGCGGCAUGCCUAACACAUGCAAGUCGAACGAGACCUUCGGGUCUAGUGGCGCACGGGUGCGUAACGCGUGGGAACCUGCCCUUAGGUUCGGAAUCACUCCCCGAAAGGGGUGCUAAUACCGGUUAAUGUCUUCGGACCAAAGAUUUCUCGCCUUUGGAUGGGCCCGCGUUGGAUUAGCUAGUUGGUAGGGUAAAAGCCUACCAAGGCGACGAUCCAUAGCUGGUCUGAGAGGAUGAUCAGCCACACUGGGACUGAGACACGGCCCAGACUCCUACGGGAGGCAGCAGUGGGGAAUAUUGGACAAUGGGCGAAAGCCUGAUCCAGCAAUGCCGCGGGAGUGAUGAAGGCCUUAGGGUUGUAAAGCUCUUUUACCCGGGAUGAUAAUGACAGUACCGGGAGAAUAAGCUCCGGCUAACUCCGUG
This 433-nucleotide ribosomal RNA is filed under the name uncultured bacterium. RNAcentral describes it as "partial 16S ribosomal RNA". It matches the Rfam family "Bacterial small subunit ribosomal RNA", at positions 29 to 507 of the family's 1533-position model. The record is from RNAcentral.